CUUGGUAAUCCCCGAUAAAUACGUCUCUCGUCUUCUCUCUUUCUCUAUCCCCUCUCUUUCUCUCUCGCCUACUCUCUUCUUUUCUCUCUCGGUUCUUGGCUGAAUUCGAGAAAUUAAUUGAAGAAAAUUCGAAUUCAAGAAGGGGUUUGAAGAAGUGAGGUAUAUGAAACAAAUUUGAGGUUGGAAUUUCAAAUCCCCAAUUCGAAGUAUUGGCAGAAUUAGGGCUGCGUGAAGGAGGCUCUAUCAAGGGGCUAUUAUGAUCAGAUCGCCUCCGGUGGUGGUCGCAUCAGAUGAUUGGCGGUGGUGGCCGGAAUCCGACGAAGAAGACAAGCUGUCUUAGAAUCGGAUUUCAGCUUUUGGUCCUUCGAAGAAUUAAUUGCUCGGAGGCCUUAGAGGUUGAAUAUUGACGAUCAGGACACACGGUUAGAAACCUUGAGAUGUUAGCCUUCCAUUGGUGUUGGAGCUCGGUAGUAUUAAUCAGCGGUGGUUGCCGGAAUUGGGCAAGAAGUUCAGCCCGCUCGCCGGAACCUUGAAGGAAAUAGUAUUUGCUGCCGCACCUGUUUAUGAAGCCGAAAUCGAAGGGUUUGGAGUGAGAAUUUGGGAAUCAUUCCUUCACAAAACUCGUAGAGGACCUCGAAAACUAUUGGUAUCGAGCGUUCUAAGGUUCUCAUUCAAGAGCAUGACUCGAGAGUAAGGUGUUUUUAUAACACUUGCAUUGGACUUCAGCAUUAAAUAGGGACUCCAGUCAAAUGAAGCCGUUGAAGCGACAACCACUGGGACAAGCACGGCCAAGACGGCGGCGGAUGGCCCAUGGUUGCUGGAGCAAAAGAAGAAAGAAGCAGAGGGGACCAAAGGAGAGAACAGAGAUUGUCUAGGGCACAAAACGGGAAAGGAGUACAAGAGGAGAGGGAGAGUCAGCUAGAAUGAACGGCUGAGAUCAAUCUUGAACCAAGGGUUCAGAUUUAAACCUUCUAGCACAUUCCCACUAAUGGGCUUAUUCUGCUUAGGCCGUUCCAAUAGACAAGUGUGUGUGUAUUGAGAUAUUGGGCUAUAGGCUCAAGACACAUUUGUGCCACAACCAUUACAAAUCUCCACCUUGGACCAAAGUGUAUCAUUAGUGAAUUUUAUGAUUUAUUGGAAGUCAUCAUUGUUGUUUUUGAUAUACAUGUAAAACACAAAGUAGUACUAGUAUAUCUUUCUGAUUUCACAUAGACAGUCAGAAGAAAUUGUCACAAAGACAAAGCACAUUGCAGAAAAACAUGCACACAAUCAGUCACACAGACAGCACACAGUCAGUCACACAAACUGUAGAAAUAGCACACAACAUUUUAAUCUUGGGAAAUUAGGUUCAAGUUUUUCAAACAAGAACGAAAUUUCUCAACUGGUAAGCAGGGUUGAACUCUGAGGGAAUUUUUUCAAGGUCAAUAAUCCCUUCUUCCACAAUUCUCCUAAUAAAGUGAAAUUUGAUC
Non-coding RNA from Erythranthe guttata (spotted monkey flower), 1469 nucleotides. NCBI's taxonomy places the organism in Eukaryota, Viridiplantae, Streptophyta, Magnoliopsida, Lamiales, Phrymaceae. The record is from RefSeq and is a predicted model, not a curated record.